UGUAACCUUUGCAUGGACUUUGACCGAUCUGUGUAGGAUAGGUGGGAGGCUAUGAAACCGGAACGCUAGUUUCGGUGGAGCCGUCCUUGAAAUACCACCCUGGUUUGUUUGAGGUUCUAACCUUGGCCCGUGAUCCGGGUCGGGGACAGUGCAUGGUAGGCAGUUUGACUGGGGCGGUCUCCUCCCAAAGCGUAACGGAGGAGUACGAAGGUACGCUAGGUACGGUCGGAAAUCGUGCUGAUAGUGCAAUGGCAUAAGCGUGCUUAACUGCGAGACCGACAAGUCGAGCAGGUGCGAAAGCAGGUCAUAGUGAUCCGGUGGUUCUGUAUGGAAGGGCCAUCGCUCAACGGAUAAAAGGUACUCUAGGGAUAACAGGCUGAA
This 381-nucleotide ribosomal RNA is filed under the name uncultured organism. Its description in RNAcentral is "bacterial LSU rRNA". It matches the Rfam family "Bacterial large subunit ribosomal RNA", at positions 2105 to 2486 of the family's 2925-position model. The record is from RNAcentral.